This 490-nucleotide ribosomal RNA is filed under the name uncultured bacterium. RNAcentral's name for it is "partial 16S ribosomal RNA". It matches the Rfam family "Bacterial small subunit ribosomal RNA", at positions 30 to 507 of the family's 1533-position model. The record is from RNAcentral.
AUUGAACGCUGGCGGCAGGCCUAACACAUGCAAGUCGAACGGUAACAGGAAGCAGCUUGCUGCUUUGCUGACGAGUGGCGGACGGGUGAGUAAUGUCUGGGAAACUGCCUGAUGGAGGGGGAUAACUACUGGAAACGGUAGCUAAUACCGCAUAACGUCGCAAGACCAAAGAGGGGGACCUUCGGGCCUCUUUCCAUCGGAUGUGCCCAGAUGGGAUUAGCUAGUAGGUGGGGUAACGGCUCACCUAGGCGACGAUCCCUAGCUGGUCUGAGAGGAUGACCAGCCACACUGGAACUGAGACACGGUCCAGACUCCUACGGGAGGCAGCAGUGGGGAAUAUUGCACAAUGGGCGCAAGCCUGAUGCAGCCAUGCCGCGUGUAUGAAGAAGGCCUUCGGGUUGUAAAGUACUUUCAGCGGGGAGGAAGGGAGUAAAGUUAAUACCUUCGCUCAUUGACGUUACCCGCAGAAGAAGCACCGGCUAACUCCGUG